This 423-nucleotide ribosomal RNA is filed under the name uncultured bacterium. RNAcentral's name for it is "bacterial SSU rRNA". It matches the Rfam family "Bacterial small subunit ribosomal RNA", at positions 207 to 622 of the family's 1533-position model. The record is from RNAcentral.
AAGACCUUGCACUUUUGGAGCGGCCGAUGUCUGAUUAGCUAGUUGGUGGGGUAAUGGCCUACCAAAGCUUCGAUCAGUAGCUGGUCUGAGAGGACGGCCAGCCACACUGGGACUGAGACACGGCCCAGACUCCUACGGGAGGCAGCAGUGGGGAAUUUUGGACAAUGGGCGCAAGCCUGAUCCAGCCAUGCCGCGUGAGUGAAGAAGGCCUUCGGGUUGUAAAGCUCUUUCAGCCGGGAAGAGAAGGUUGCGACUAAUAAUCGCAAUUCAUGACGGUACCGAAAGAAGAAGCACCGGCUAACUACGUGCCAGCAGCCGCGGUAAUACGUAGGGUGCGAGCGUUAAUCGGAAUUACUGGGCGUAAAGGGUGCGCAGGCGGUUUUGUAAGUCAGAUGUGAAAUCCCCGGGCUUAACCUGGGAACU